Molecule: ribosomal RNA, 61 nt
Filed under: Fusarium sp. 6241
Lineage: Eukaryota; Fungi; Ascomycota; Sordariomycetes; Hypocreales; Nectriaceae
Description: partial 28S ribosomal RNA
Source: RNAcentral
UUGACCUCGGAUCAGGUAGGAAUACCCGCUGAACUUAAGCAUAUCAAAGCCGCGGAGGAAA